GCUGUCGUGCAGAAACAGUGGUUCCGGCUGACUUUAAAAUUGCUGCCUAAAUGAAGGAAUGAGGCUCUUCUGGGAAAUGUAGGCUCCUAAUGGAGGGUUGUGGUUUGAAAAGGUUCCCACGCAGUGAUUUUUUAAAUGCCUAUUGACCUCACUGCAGUGGCUGCUUUUCCAUCAUAAUCUGUUACAUAAUAACUGUGCAACAUUGGAGCUGCUGCUUACAAAACUGACUUAAACGAACCCACCUAGACCAGCAUCAGGGACCUUUUUCUAGCCUCUGUGGCCAUUAUCGGAAUUGCAGGACCUAGAGAAUCUGGUGCUUUCAACCAAAUGACCCCCGAGAAAACGGGUUUAAGGUCUCCCUUGUCCUUAGCAGGCUUGCGAGGGCUGCUGGAAAGCCAACAUUUGGGACUUGAAAGUCUUGAGAAAAACUGAGUUUGGUGCCUUAGUAAAUGGUUGACACCCCUCGCCCCACGACUCCCCAGUUCCCACAUUUUGACCUUUAGCUUUGCACACGGAAGCCCACAGCAUCUGAGAAGCUAUUUCAGUCCAAAUCCUGGGAUGGAAAUACCAGAGGCCGAGCCUGAACAUCCUAAGCAAACAGAUGAAUGUCUUGGAAGGAGACAGAGCUGCUCACGGAACAGAAGGAGGACCUGAGACUCGGCUUUAUACAAGCCCACGAGAGGCUCGAGGACGUCAGGUGGUGGGAGUAACACAAUUUCCCUCCGCACGGCUGCCCGGGAAAUGACUGCAAACCAGUCUCCAUUUGGGGGUCCCUUCUCUCCACACUGAAAGCCCAGGUCAAGGGCAUCUGGGAGACCUAGUUUCAGGCACGUUAUGCAGCCACCCUCCCCUUGCCUGUGAAACUGGAUUGUUACGAUCAUUAUACAACGACAGAUGUGAUACAUUCGAGGCAUAAAAAAACUAAAAAUUAAAAAAAUAAAUAAAUCAAGGGAGAGGCAUGGUGUGGGUUAUGCUAUUUUCACUCCCUCCCCUCCAGUUCUACCCCACAUCUUCCCUCUUCUCCACGCCACGAGUUUGCGCAUGAGGCAUCCCCACAGCAGGAGCACAGGCUCCCCCCGCACCCCCCCGGCCUCCCUCGCCUCCCAGGAAUAAUCUGGGAUGGGUGAGCAGCUCGGAAUUUUGGAGACGGAGAAAAAUGAGGAAAAGGAGUAUCGGAGAGAUGAGAAGUGGUGUCACGCCCCCCCCACCUUGAGUUCUUGAGUUGGUUUCAGUUCUCCUCAGGUGAACACAUUUUUUAUUUAAGAGAAACUAUUACAUUUCUAGUGCAGUACCAAUGCAUGUGCUGUGUGUGUGUGUGUGUAAGUGUGAAGAGAAAACAAAGAUAGAGUAAUAGCAAAUGAUGUUUCUUUGUUUAACUCCCUUUUCUAGAACUAACCUCUCUAAAAUGUUGUGGUGUAUCACACAAUUAACUACGACAUGUGUAAUUAAUUUAAAAUAUUCUUUAAUUGAGGAGAUGGGCAGCAACGAAACACUGAGGGUACCAGAGAACUAGAGAGGUUACUGGGCUGCCUCCCCAGCCGCCCUCUACCUGGCUGCCCCGAGGCAUCUUGCUCAUUUGACUUUCUAAUCCUUGACAUAUUCUGCUCCAUGAUUUCCAUAUAAAUGACCUCUUGGGUGAUACAACUUAAAAACCCAUGAUGCACCCAGGAUUUCCUCCCAAUGCAUCCCAGAGUGGAGCAGAAAUCUCUUCCAAUGCUCUGGCCAUCCAAGUUCUAGUUUGGGGCAUAUCUAAUUCUGUUUCUUCGGAAAACGUAUCGAUCCGUGUCUCUCUUAAACCUAUUUGUUAACAUCUUUGGAAACUUUGCUAUGUUUUAUGUAGUUCAAUAAGAAGUUGGAGUUCCCAUUGUGGCGCAGUGGUUAACGAAUGCGACUAGGAACCAUGAGGAUGCAGGUUCGAUCCCUGGCCUUGCUCAGUGGGUUAAGGAUCUGGCGUUGCCGUGAGCUGUGGUGUAGGUCGCAGACGCGGCUCGGAUCCCGUGUUGCUGUGGCUCUGGCACAGGCUGGCGGCUACAGCUCCAAUUCGACCCCUAGCCUGGGAAUCUCCAUAUGCCGAGGGAGCAGCCCAAGAAAUGGCAAAAAGACAAAAAAAAAAAAAGAAGAAAUUAAUAUUUGCUACACGUUAGAACAAAUCAGUGUGUUCAUCCUGCUUUUCUCUCUUCCUCCUUUCGUUCAAAUUCCCUCCUCUACCACCACACAUUCCCCUCAUGUCUCUACCACUUCAAGCCACCAAUGCAGAAGGGAGCUGAUGUUUACCAGACGACUGUCACGUGACAAGCAUUACGACAAGUGUCUGCAUAUACUUUUUUCAUUUAUAUUUGUUGUAGCUUCAGUGAACUUAUGUGGAACCCCAGAUCCAGAGAGGUUAAAAGGAUCCAGAGCCACAAAGCUGGGAACUGGUUAAGUUCACAGUGGAACCUACAGCUGUCUGAGUUCAAAGCACAUUCUUUCCGUUGUAAUACGUCCAAUAAGAUAGGUAGGUACCAGCUCAUCAAGAACUACUACACACC
This 2528-nucleotide long non-coding RNA is filed under the name Sus scrofa (pig). Its description in RNAcentral is "lncRNA (ENSSSCG00040072670.1)". The record is from RNAcentral. Lineage: Eukaryota; Metazoa; Chordata; Mammalia; Artiodactyla; Suidae.